This 106-nucleotide ribosomal RNA is filed under the name Acanthosepion pharaonis. The record is from RNAcentral. Lineage: Eukaryota; Metazoa; Mollusca; Cephalopoda; Sepiida; Sepiidae.
UUACGGCCAUUUCAUGUUGAAACACCGAUCCCCAUACAAUCACCAAAGUUAAGCAACAUUGAGCCUGGUCAGUACUUAGAUUAGUGACCUCUUGGGAAUACCAGAU